GCUUUGCCUAGUUUAUUUAACUUUAUUUGUAAACUUCUAACAGAAGAGUUGUGGCUGGUUUACUGGAUGCUGGUUUACUGGAUGCACCCAUUUAAGAGAUUUUUAAAAAUUAUUUUUAUUUAUUUUAUUUAUUUAUUUUUAUUUUAGAACCUGCUUGGUUUUGGGAUGCAGAAAGAAGAACUGCUUUCUUAUCACUUGAGGAUAAAGUUUCAUUCUUUAUUUUUCACCUGAACCUAGUGUCAACAAUUGUUUUAUAGUUAACUCCUGUCAAAUUGCAAUCUCUGGUAAGGUUUUGUAAUACCUUAGAGCCGAUAGAAAUUAAAGGAUAAAGAACCAAUUAGUUAAACACUCCAUACAGUGAUUAUGUUUGCUGACCUUGUGUCAGAACAUUAUCACACAGAUACGUAGUGGUACAAAUGGCUGACAGCUGGGCAGGAUCACUCCAUUAUCAGGAGGCCAGAGAAUCUCCCUGCCCCAGGAGCCAUAGUAAGUAAUAUAAGGACCUCUUGGUUUGAGAAAGGAUAGACUUUGAGUCUUUGGGAUCCUGGGGUGGGGAUUGACUUCUACAAGUUUGUGAAGAGUUAAUAUAAGCUAAACUUCUGGGAGUAUGCUAGCUUUAACAGUAUCUGCAGCUGUAUCUAGAACCCAUGUCUCUUUGGAGGGAUGUACACUUUAGUAGUUGGGUUUCUUGUGUGUCUGUCUGCUGAACCACCUCAUCACAGGAAUGAAAAUUUAAACUCUGAUUUGAAUCAACUAUUGGAAGAACUUAUCAGGGAAAUGGAUAGGCUGAUGGAUAUCAGCUGCUAUCUCUACAUCAAGCUGCCUCCCUCUUCUUCAGAUUAACCCUGACAAUGAGUGUUCCCACAGGCUGAUAACUCAGGUAAAUGUGCAGCAGGGAGUAUACCACAGAGGCCUGGGGAAAAAGAAAUGGAGGUUGGAGUGUUUGCAUUAUGCAGGAGCACCUGCACCCAAGUCUCAGCUUCAUUCCUCACCACCGCAGUCAUGCCAAACAAGUCAAUUAGACUGUUCAAGUGUUUAAAGUUAAGCCCAUCCUACGUGCUUCACUGGACUGGAAGAUCAGGUCUUUGGUAUGACUAAGUGGGGAUAAUAGUCUGUUGAUUGUUAGAAGUUCCUGGAACAAUCAGAACUCUAGUCACUCUGCCAAAACAUUAUUCACUGUAAUUAGGACAAUGAACAUCACUACACUCCUGUUCACUUCACCUCUCAUCCAUUUCUCCUCUGAUGAGCUUGUACAAUCUUUCAUAAAC
RNAcentral lists this long non-coding RNA (1268 nucleotides) under Anas platyrhynchos platyrhynchos (common mallard). Its description in RNAcentral is "lncRNA (ENSAPLG00000023245.1)". The record is from RNAcentral. Lineage: Eukaryota; Metazoa; Chordata; Aves; Anseriformes; Anatidae.